GUCUGCGGCCAUGCCAUCCUGAACAAGCCUGAUGUCUGAUCUCAGAAGCUAAACAGGUUUGGGCCUGGUUAGUACUUGGAUGGGAGACCACCUAGGAAGACCAGGUGCUGUAGGCA
This 116-nucleotide ribosomal RNA is filed under the name Pteropus alecto (black flying fox). Lineage: Eukaryota; Metazoa; Chordata; Mammalia; Chiroptera; Pteropodidae. The record is from RNAcentral. RNAcentral also lists the same sequence under 1 other name.